AGAGUUUGAUCCUGGCUCAGGAUGAACGCUAGCGACAGGCUUAACACAUGCAAGUCGAGGGGCAGCGGGGUGUAGCAAUACACCGCCGGCGACCGGCGCACGGGUGAGUAACGCGUAUGCAACUUGCCUAUCAGAGGGGGAUAACCCGGCGAAAGUCGGACUAAUACCGCAUGAAGCAGGGGCCCCGCAUGGGGAUAUUUGCUAAAGAUUCAUCGCUGAUAGAUAGGCAUGCGUUCCAUUAGGCAGUUGGCGGGGUAACGGCCCACCAAACCGACGAUGGAUAGGGGUUCUGAGAGGAAGGUCCCCCACAUUGGUACUGAGACACGGACCAAACUCCUACGGGAGGCAGCAGUGAGGAAUAUUGGUCAAUGGCCGAGAGGCUGAACCAGCCAAGUCGCGUGAGGGAUGAAGGUUCUAUGGAUCGUAAACCUCUUUUAUAAGGGAAUAAAGCGCGGGACGUGUCCCGUUUUGUAUGUACCUUAUGAAUAAGGAUCGGCUAACUCCGUGCCAGCAGCCGCGGUAAUACGGAGGAUCCGAGCGUUAUCCGGAUUUAUUGGGUUUAAAGGGUGCGUAGGCGGCCUUUUAAGUCAGCGGUGAAAGUCUGUGGCUCAACCAUAGAAUUGCCGUUGAAACUGGGAGGCUUGAGUAUGUUUGAGGCAGGCGGAAUGCGUGGUGUAGCGGUGAAAUGCUUAGAUAUCACGCAGAACCCCGAUUGCGAAGGCAGCCUGCCAAGCCAUUACUGACGCUGAUGCACGAAAGCGUGGGGAUCAAACAGGAUUAGAUACCCUGGUAGUCCACGCAGUAAACGAUGAUCACUAGCUGUUUGCGAUACACUGUAAGCGGCACAGCGAAAGCGUUAAGUGAUCCACCUGGGGAGUACGCCGGCAACGGUGAAACUCAAAGGAAUUGACGGGGGCCCGCACAAGCGGAGGAACAUGUGGUUUAAUUCGAUGAUACGCGAGGAACCUUACCCGGGUUUGAACGCAUUUUGACAGCUCUGGAAACAGAGCCUCUAGCAAUAGCGAUUUGCGAGGUGCUGCAUGGUUGUCGUCAGCCCGUGCCGUGAGGUGUCGGCUUAAGUGCCAUAACGAGCGCAGCCCUUGCCACUAGUUACUAACAGGUAAAGCUGAGGACUCUGGUGGGACUGCCAGCGUAAGCUGCGAGGAAGGCGGGGAUGACGUCAAAUCAGCACGGCCCUUACAUCCGGGGCGACACACGUGUUACAAUGGCGUGGACAAAGGGAGGCCACCUGGCGACAGGGAGCGAAUCCCCAAACCACGUCUCAGUUCGGAUCGGAGUCUGCAACCCGACUCCGUGAAGCUGGAUUCGCUAGUAAUCGCGCAUCAGCCAUGGCGCGGUGAAUACGUUCCCGGGCCUUGUACACACCGCCCGUCAAGCCAUGGGAGCCGGGGGUACCUGAAGUCCGUAACCGAAAGGAUCGGCCUAGGGUAAAACUGGUGACUGGGGCUAAGUCGUAACAAGGU
This 1484-nucleotide ribosomal RNA is filed under the name uncultured Parabacteroides sp. Its description in RNAcentral is "bacterial SSU rRNA". It matches the Rfam family "Bacterial small subunit ribosomal RNA". The record is from RNAcentral. Lineage: Bacteria; Pseudomonadati; Bacteroidota; Bacteroidia; Bacteroidales; Tannerellaceae.